GUUUUUUGUUUGUUUUUCCUGAUGUAUAAGUAAUUUUGCUGGGUGUAAACCAGUUAAGGUGGUGGGAUCUAAUUUGUUAAUCAAGUUACAUUGUUAGGAUUCAUUAGUUAAAUGACAGUAAAAUAAUCAAUGAAAGGCAUAGCUGAGAAUGAGAUGAUACUGUGUGUGUGUGUUAUAGGGAUUUCUUUAUUUCAGAUUCUUCAGAAUUUCAGAAAACUAUUUUAUCCCAAAAAGUUGCACCAAGCAAAAAAUUACCUGCACUACACACAGAAAGAAUGGUUGCCAUUGUGCAUACCACGAAAGAAGCCCUGCAACUUGUUGAAAUGUAUCAUGGCAGUCCAUUGGAUGGACAUCUAGGAAUAUUCAAAAUGAGGAAUAUGCUGACAUCAAAAUGCUAUUGGCCAGAGACGACAAAAGAUAUUGCCAAUUGGUUUAACCUGUAUAUUUGUGAAAGAUGGGGAAUAAAAUGUAGCUUCAUGAGACUGUACCAUCCACAAACUAAUGGCUUGGUUGAAAACACUAAUAAAUCCAUCAAAAGGUAAGCGAGCAGGUGGGAGUAUUACAGUACUAAUGGCAAGUAGAGUGUGCUAUGCCAGAAGAUGCAACUCACUAAAAAAUCUUCAAAAUCAACGUGUUACAUUGGAAGUCUUUCAUUAUGCAUUACACCUUUUUGAUUAUGUAUAAUCUAUUUCAGUCAAGACUGUACAUGUCUUUUUUUUCUUUUAAGCAAACCAAUGAGCAUUU
This 744-nucleotide long non-coding RNA is filed under the name Gopherus agassizii (Agassiz's desert tortoise). RNAcentral's name for it is "lncRNA (ENSGAGG00000007334.1)". Lineage: Eukaryota; Metazoa; Chordata; Testudines; Testudinidae. The record is from RNAcentral.